Molecule: ribosomal RNA, 763 nt
Filed under: uncultured Streptococcus sp.
Lineage: Bacteria; Bacillati; Bacillota; Bacilli; Lactobacillales; Streptococcaceae
Description: bacterial SSU rRNA
Rfam family: Bacterial small subunit ribosomal RNA
Source: RNAcentral
GACGAACGCUGGCGGCGUGCCUAAUACAUGCAAGUAGAACGCUGAAGGAGGAGCUUGCUUCUCUGGAUGAGUUGCGAACGGGUGAGUAACGCGUAGGUAACCUGCCUGGUAGCGGGGGAUAACUAUUGGAAACGAUAGCUAAUACCGCAUAAGAGUAGAUGUCGCAUGACAUUUGCUUAAAAGGUGCAAUUGCAUCACUACCAGACGGACCUGCGUUGUAUUAGCUAGUUGGUGGGGUAACGGCUCACCAAGGCGACGAUACAUAGCCGACCUGAGAGGGUGAUCGGCCACACUGGGACUGAGACACGGCCCAGACUCCUACGGGAGGCAGCAGUAGGGAAUCUUCGGCAAUGGACGGAAGUCUGACCGAGCAACGCCGCGUGAGUGAAGAAGGUUUUCGGAUCGUAAAGCUCUGUUGUAAGAGAAGAACGAGUGUGAGAGUGGAAAGUUCACACUGUGACGGUAUCUUACCAGAAAGGGACGGCUAACUACGUGCCAGCAGCCGCGGUAAUACGUAGGUCCCGAGCGUUGUCCGGAUUUAUUGGGCGUAAAGCGAGCGCAGGCGGUUAGAUAAGUCUGAAGUUAAAGGCUGUGGCUUAACCAUAGUACGCUUUGGAAACUGUUUAACUUGAGUGCAAGAGGGGAGAGUGGAAUUCCAUGUGUAGCGGUGAAAUGCGUAGAUAUAUGGAGGAACACCGGUGGCGAAAGCGGCUCUCUGGCUUGUAACUGACGCUGAGGCUCGAAAGCGUGGGGAGCAAACAGG